ACUCCUACGGGAGGCAGCAGUGAGGAAUAUUGGUCAAUGGAGGGAACUCUGAACCAGCCAUCCCGCGUGUAGGAAGACGGCCUUAUGGGUUGUAAACUACUUUUAUACAGGAAGAAACGUACCCUCGUGAGGGUGCCUGACGGUACUGUAGGAAUAAGCACCGGCUAACUCCGUGCCAGCAGCCGCGGUAAUACGGAGGGUGCGAGCGUUAAUCGGAAUUACUGGGCGUAAAGCGCACGUAGGCGGAUCGGAAAGUUGGGGGUGAAAUCCCGGGGCUCAACCCCGGAACGGCCUCCAAAACUAUCGGUCUAGAGUUCGAGAGAGGUGAGUGGAAUUCCGAGUGUAGAGGUGAAAUUCGUAGAUAUUCGGAGGAACACCAGUGGCGAAGGCGGCUCACUGGCUCGAUACUGACGCUGAGGUGCGAAAGUGUGGGGAGCAAACAGGAUUAGAUACCCUGGUAGGCUCUGCU
RNAcentral lists this ribosomal RNA (469 nucleotides) under uncultured bacterium. RNAcentral's name for it is "bacterial SSU rRNA". It matches the Rfam family "Bacterial small subunit ribosomal RNA", at positions 335 to 801 of the family's 1533-position model. The record is from RNAcentral.